CCAAAAUAUGCAUUGUAAAAACAUGAAUUAGUACAAAAGAUGAAGUAGAGUGAUUGUAGUCAACGUUUGCUUUCAAAAUGGAUCAGUAUUUAUACUAAGUAACACAAUUGUAUGAAAUUCAGCUUGUCACCACCCUGAGGAAAAAGUUAAUUCAGUCUUAAUUCUGGAGGUUGGCUGAUUUGCUGGCUUACCUGCCUGUCUACUUAACUACCUACCUGUGUGCACUCUGCCAGUGGACUCAUUACCCAUGAAAAAGUGUUAUUGGGGGAGUGGCUUUGGAGGAAGACCUGAAGGAAGAGGGUGGGAUUUAAUUGAAUUUACAGCCCAAAUAUUGCUUGUGAGACAUAAUGUUAACGUAAUAUAUAAAAUUACACACACCAUGAUAUACGCUUUUGAACAUGUCACGCACCCGGUGAGUGUCCUGUUUUUUCCUCCUUUUCUCGCGUUCUGUUUUCCCCUGAGUUUUGCCUCUCUCCCUGUGUCUCCUCCCCUCUCCAUCUGUGUGUGCUCUCCGCUCCUGAGCUCAGCUGACAAUCCACACCUGCGUCUCAUCAACCUCCACCUUUGCCCGCCACACCUGCCAGCAGUCAGCCUCAUCUCUACGAGUAUUUCAACCCCGGCUCACCACUCAAUCCCCACUUGAUCGUCGUCGCUCCAGACUUGGUCCACUCACCUCCGUCUCCCGUUCAGUCAGCUGGGCUCACCUACCUGCCUGCUCCCCUCACAUCACCUCCACGGCACUCCCCCUCGCUCUUCGCCUGUUCGCCAGCCACCACAUCCCUUCCCACCUCUGUCUCCUUUCCCCCUCGGCCCUCUCGCCUGAACCUCUCCAGCCCCUUCAGCCCCUCAACUCCCCUUUUUCCCUUAAUAAAUCUCUUUAAAACCAG
Long non-coding RNA from Micropterus dolomieu (smallmouth bass), 887 nucleotides. RefSeq lists it as uncharacterized. NCBI's taxonomy places the organism in Eukaryota, Metazoa, Chordata, Actinopteri, Centrarchiformes, Centrarchidae. The record is from RefSeq and is a predicted model, not a curated record. The transcript has 2 exons.